GCUCAACCUCGGGCGUGCGGUGGGUACGGGCAGGCUAGAGUGUGGUAGGGGAGACUGGAACUCCUGGUGUAGCGGUGAAAUGCGCAGAUAUCAGGAAGAACACCGAUGGCGAAGGCAGGUCUCUGGGCCAUUACUGACACUGAGGAGCGAAAGCAUGGGUAGCGAACAGGAUUAGAUACCCUGGUAGUCCAUGCCGUAAACGUUGGGCACUAGAUGUGGGGGACAUUCCACGUUUUCCGCGUCGUAGCUAACGCAUUAAGUGCCCCGCCUGGGGAGUACGGCCGCAAGGCUAAAACUCAAAGGAAUUGACGGGGGCCCGCACAAGCGGCGGAGCAUGCUGAUUAAUUCGAUGCAACGCGAAGAACCUUACCAAGGCUUGACAUGCACCGGACGAUCCCAGAGAUGGGGUUUUCUUCGGACUGGUGCACAGGUGGUGCAUGGUUGUCGUCAGCUCGUGUCGUGAGAUGUUGGGUUAAGUCCCGCAACGAGCGCAACCCUUGUUCUAUGUUGCCAGCACGUGAUGGUGGGGACUCAUAGGAGACUGCCGGGGUCAACUCGGAGGAAGGUGGGGACGACGUCAAAUCAUCAUGCCCCUUAUGUCUUGGGCUUCAAGCAUGCUACAAUGGUCGGUACAAUG
RNAcentral lists this ribosomal RNA (637 nucleotides) under uncultured bacterium. RNAcentral describes it as "bacterial SSU rRNA". It matches the Rfam family "Bacterial small subunit ribosomal RNA", at positions 607 to 1244 of the family's 1533-position model. The record is from RNAcentral.